AAAACACCGUAUAUCAAAAGCAGUUGAAUGUAGCAUUGUCAUACUUGGUACGGCAUAUUUACAUGUAACCAUAUUCUUGCCAGUGUAAUGAUAUAAUCCACAUUUGACCCAAAUUGAGUUUAAAUGGACAUGCGUGCAUAUUUUACAGUAACUGUGAUCGAUACGCGUUCUUCCGAUCAUUAAUUAGAAUGGCCAAGUCGCGUUUCGUAUUGACAGAUGAAUAUGCUCAGUUCAUUAAAUAGCCUACGUCUUAGUUAAAUACGCUUACUUUAUUUAAUAUUAAUUAUACAUUUAUUAAAUGUCUCUUGCAAACUAUGAAGGGACAAUGAAUCAAUACACUGACAUGGUAAUGCUACACAGCAGGGGCGUCAGUUUGUGUUGAAAAGUGGUGGGGACAAAAGAUCAGAUAAAAACAUUACUGCGGGACAGGAAAAAUAUUGAAUAACGGCGCAUCAAAAAUGGGCAUAGCGUAGGCUAGUCAACAACAAGAAAAUACUCAGCAUAAAACCCUCAACAAUGUCGACUGCACACAUGUAACAGUCCCUACAACACCAGCUCAACCGAACAGUGCCAAAGCACCAAACCGUAGAAAACAGCAGCGCUUUUAGUCAAUGAUUACAAUGAAUUUCAUUACAUAUGUACAAGAAAACACACCAUAAGCAUACAACGCAACAUAUGUGACACUAGACCACAAAACCAGUCUUAAGCAUCGCUUGAUUUUUCAGGACAUUUUAACCAAAUGCUUUCAAAAAGUGGUGGGGACAUCCCCAGCGUAAAUAACACCAAUGCUAGACAGAUACUUUGUUUGCACAGUCCUACCGUAAUUAAGUUACUCCUAGAUGUUCGUCUGGUGUCCGGGGGAAACGUUUACCUCGAUGAAGGAAAGUCAUUGUCAUGUUUAUUCGGCUAUAUCCAGUGCUGAGCUUCGAUGAAACUUUACGAGACCGGCGAGAUGCUUCACAGGUGGAAGAUAUGCGGCGUGAUUGACAGCUUUGACACCAAAUGGGUAUACGUGAAAAUCAGAUGACAUGAUUUCACAAGUUUUCAUUGGCCAUUUAGGUAUGUGACGCAUACUGUAUACGGAAAUGAACCUGGACAUUCAAUCUGUCAAAAAAUCUCAAAAUCGGCAAAAUGAACAUACGUGAUUUUCAUCGGACAGCGACGAUAUAUUCAUUCGAUUUUUAAUUUUGAGAUUCGAAUAUUUUUUUCUGUUUUUAACAUUAGCAUUAAUGCAGAGACUGCCAAGCAGGAAGUGCACUUCACGCUCCCGCUCAAGGUUCUGUCAGAGUUCUUUCGCUUAACCAGCAAAAACCUCAAAAUCGAGUUUUUCAAAGAACUGGACAAACAACUCCUCGCUGUCUUGACAUUUUCAAGUCCAAGGGUGGAUGUACCAGCCAGAUACUUAAGGCGUAUUUGCAUCAUCAAAUCGCACUGGGGAAUACAGAUGUUACUGCUAAGUGAACAGCAGUCCUCCGUGGCCUUCCCAUCCUCCUUGGAGAUGAGAACAAAGACUUCUUCAAGACAUACUUUGACUGUGAUGAACCUGAACUGGCCAACACCUCCAUUGAGAUCCUAACAGUAAUCCCUGAAGGUACCCCACCUCAAGGAACACACCAACAUUUUGGGUUUUUAGCUUUUUAACUGUAUUCCCCAGAGUUACAU
This is a non-coding RNA of Paramisgurnus dabryanus, 1662 nucleotides long. The record is from RefSeq and is a predicted model, not a curated record. Lineage: Eukaryota; Metazoa; Chordata; Actinopteri; Cypriniformes; Cobitidae.